GGCUGGCGCUGUAAGCCAGACAGGAGGGGCAGCGGCUCAGGUCAGGGAGGGCCACGGAAAGGAGGGGCCGGGCUCUGAGCCCGCCCUGCAAGGUGGAGCCCCUGGAUGAGAAAAAGACAAGACAAAAGGAGGGGAGUCUGGAGUCAAAAGGCCCCGUCUCUAAUUCUGACCACGGUCUUAGUAAGCUGUGUGUCUUUGAAGCCAUUGAAACUUUCCAUGUUUAGUUUAUUGGGUAGUAAAAUAAAACGGGACCUUCACAUGCAAUUUGUGGGGUUUUGUGAGAAGUAAUAACGGUCAUGUGUUCUGGAAUCUUGCUGUGCUCCAAAACGGCCACUUCCUCUUUGCUGCCUGCUUUGCAGCGCUUGCUUGUGUGGGAAGCAGACUCCUCGGGUUUCUGGCGCAGCCUCGCUCCCUCCCCCAGCACUUGUCGUAAGAAAAUGCAUGAAACACAACUCAGGUUGGCCUUACCACCGAGGAAGGGCUUGGACUGCGGCAGAGAUGCCAGCCCUCUCCCAGACCGACGCAGGCGCGUGUCAUCAGCAAAUUCCACCGGCUUGCCAGGGACAGAGCUGACAUUUACACACCCACAGCACCAGGCAGCAGCAACCAUGCCGGUAAAUGUCUAAUGAGGGGUUGAUCUUCAGAAAUAAAUAUUUGACAGCUAG
This 665-nucleotide long non-coding RNA is filed under the name Chinchilla lanigera (long-tailed chinchilla). RNAcentral's name for it is "lncRNA (ENSCLAG00000022807.1)". Lineage: Eukaryota; Metazoa; Chordata; Mammalia; Rodentia; Chinchillidae. The record is from RNAcentral.